AAAGUGUUGAACAACGCCGUGCGACCGAC
RNAcentral lists this small RNA (29 nucleotides) under Bombyx mori (domestic silkworm). RNAcentral describes it as "ovarian small RNA-10102". Lineage: Eukaryota; Metazoa; Arthropoda; Insecta; Lepidoptera; Bombycidae. The record is from RNAcentral.